RNAcentral lists this ribosomal RNA (394 nucleotides) under uncultured bacterium. RNAcentral's name for it is "partial 16S ribosomal RNA". It matches the Rfam family "Bacterial small subunit ribosomal RNA", at positions 523 to 918 of the family's 1533-position model. The record is from RNAcentral.
CUACGGAGGAUGCAAGCGUUAUCCGGAUUUAUUGGGUUUAAAGGGUGCGUAGGCGGGAAGUCAAGUCUGUGGUGAAAAGUCCGGGCCUAACCUAGAUCGUGCCAUGGAAACUGUCUUUCUUGAAUAGUGGUGCCGUUGGCGGAAUGUGAAGGGUAGCGGUGAAAUGCUUAGAUAUUACACAGAACACCGAUUGCGAAAGCAGCUGACGAACCACCGAUUGACGCUGAUGCACGAAAGUGCGGGUAUCGAACAGGAUUAGAUACCCUGGUAGUCCGCACAGUAAAUGAUGACAACUGGCUGUUGGCGAUAUACCGUUCAGUAGCGUAGCGAAAGCGUUAAGUUGUCCACCUGGGGAGUACGACCGCAAGGUUGAAACUCAAAGGAAUUGACGGGG